UUUGUGGUGUGUAAACUUUAA
RNAcentral lists this non-coding RNA (21 nucleotides) under Arabidopsis thaliana (thale cress). Lineage: Eukaryota; Viridiplantae; Streptophyta; Magnoliopsida; Brassicales; Brassicaceae. The record is from RNAcentral.